Molecule: ribosomal RNA, 409 nt
Filed under: uncultured bacterium
Lineage: Bacteria
Description: bacterial SSU rRNA
Rfam family: Bacterial small subunit ribosomal RNA
Source: RNAcentral
AUUGAACGCUGGCGGCAUGGCUAAAACAUGCAAGUCGAACGCGAAAGGUAGCAAUACCAAGUAGAGUGGCGAAAGGGCGAGUAAUGCAUUCCUACGUGCCCCAAGGUCGGGAAUAGCUCGGGGAAACCCGAAUUAAAACCCGAUAAUGUCUACGGACCAAAGGCUUGCUGCCUUGGGAGCGGGGAAUGUCCUAUCAGGUUGUUGGUGAGGUAACGGCUCACCAAGCCUAAGACGGGUAGCGGGUGNGAGAGCACGGCCCGCCGCAUCGGGACUGAGACACUGCCCGGACUCCUACGGGAGGCUGCAGUAACGAAUCUUCCGCAAUGCGCGAAAGCGUGACGGAGCAAUGCCGCGUGCAGGAUGAAGCCCUUGGGUGUAAACUGCUGUCAGGGUGUAGCAACACAAUGAG